This 492-nucleotide ribosomal RNA is filed under the name uncultured bacterium. RNAcentral's name for it is "partial 16S ribosomal RNA". It matches the Rfam family "Bacterial small subunit ribosomal RNA", at positions 29 to 507 of the family's 1533-position model. The record is from RNAcentral.
AUUGAACGCUGGCGGCAUGCUUUACACAUGCAAGUCGAACGGUAACAGGCCUUCGGGUGCUGACGAGUGGCGAACGGGUGAGUAAUGCAUCGGAACGUACCCAGAGGUGGGGGAUAACGCAGCUAAAGCUGUGCUAAUACCGCAUGUGAUCUGAGGAUGAAAGCGGGGGACCGAGCAGCAAUGUUUGGCCUCGCGCCUUUGGAGCGGCCGAUGUCGGAUUAGCUAGUUGGUGGGGUAAAGGCCUACCAAGGCGACGAUCCGUAGCUGGUCUGAGAGGACGACAAGCCACACUGGGACUGAGACACGGCCCAGACUCCUACGGGAGGCAGCAGUGGGGAAUUUUGGACAAUGGGCGCAGGCAUGAUCCAGCAGUGCCGCGUGCGGGAAGAAGGCCUUCGGGUUGUAAACCGCUUUUGGCAGGAACGAAACGGUGUCCGCUAAUACCGGGCGCUAAUGACGGUACCUGCAGAAUAAGCACCGGCUAACUACGUG